This 253-nucleotide ribosomal RNA is filed under the name uncultured bacterium. RNAcentral's name for it is "partial 16S ribosomal RNA". It matches the Rfam family "Bacterial small subunit ribosomal RNA", at positions 524 to 776 of the family's 1533-position model. The record is from RNAcentral.
UACAGAGGGUGCGAGCGUUAAUCGGAAUUACUGGGCGUAAAGCGUGCGUAGACGGUUAUUUAAGUCGGGUGUGAAAGCCCCGGGCUCAACCUGGGAAUUGCAUUCGAGACUGAAUAGCUAGGGUACGGUAGAGGGAAGUGGAAUUUCCGGUGUAGCGGUGAAAUGCGUAGAUAUCGGAAGGAACAUCAGUGGCGAAAGCGGCUCUCUGGGACGGUACUGACGCUGAGACGCGAAAGCGUGGGGAGCGAACAGG